This is a long non-coding RNA of Lactuca sativa (garden lettuce), 871 nucleotides long. RefSeq lists it as uncharacterized. Lineage: Eukaryota; Viridiplantae; Streptophyta; Magnoliopsida; Asterales; Asteraceae. The record is from RefSeq and is a predicted model, not a curated record.
UAUUAAUUAAGUAUGGAUUAGAAAGCACACACAGUCAAAAGAAUCGAAUUAAAAAUACAAUAAUUAAAUGAUUUAGUUAGCCCAAUUAAAUUGUUUAGCCCACAUUAAAAUCUAAUAAUUCAUGUGACCUAGCCCUACUUGUGUUCUCACAGCCAAUGAAACAAAAGCUAGAACACGCCUCUUUUUUUUCUCCUUUUUUUUUCUUGGUUCGAUUCUUGACUCGGUAAUACAGCCGAUGGAGAUUUGAUGGGAGGUCAAGUAACAUGUUGUUGGGUGUUUAGCAGAUGAAGGGUUGUUUAAGAAGGACGUUGUGCUUCAUGAUGGAAGGGUUACUUGUUGGCCAUAAAGUGUGGUUCUUCUGAAGGGUAAAAUGGUCGAGUGAAAUGGUGGCAGUGAAAAUUGAAGGUGCAAGUAGGUUUUCUGGUGGAUAUCGGAAGUUGUUAGUGAUCGAUUUGGGGUAGGAGAUGUUUGACGGGGAGGUUCUCGGUUGUUGCAGCGGCGGUGGUUUAAGGAUGAUAGAAGGAUGGUGAUGGCGAUUUCGAUUUUCGCUCUAGCUGGAUGUGGUGGCAAUGUUUUAGGCAGCGGUGGUGAUAUAGGGUUCUCGGUAAGGGCAGAUGGUUUUAGGUGCUUGUUUGCCGGUGGAUGUUUAUAUCCAUCAGAUCAAAAGAGCAAUCCUUGUGAAGAGCUGCUUCUUUUUUAUUGGUUGAAUUCUUUACCAUGCUGGCAAUCCAAAGCAAAAUAAAGACAGCAUGUAUCCCUGUAAAUUUUAAAGUUGGACAUUAUACAGUAAAAUUUGUUUUUAAGACAUUUUUUUAAGAGAUGUUUUAUUUCAUUGUAUUUUAUGUAUAAAAAUUUGUAUUUAAGACUUUAA